Caenorhabditis elegans is the source of this 220-nucleotide non-coding RNA. Lineage: Eukaryota; Metazoa; Nematoda; Chromadorea; Rhabditida; Rhabditidae. The record is from Ensembl.
CUCUUGCGUCAGAGGCAUUGUCGGUAAGGGGCGCCUGAUGUGACUCGCUUACUUCCAAAGCUAUUCUUCAUCCAACACGGGGGUCCAGUGAGUUGACUCAUUGGCGGAAUGACUUUGAGAUGGAAGGAGGUAUAUAGGAUGAAUGAUGAUAGCUUGGGAUGAAAAACAAAUGUACAGUUGGAGUACUGUAGGGGUAUUACUAGCAUUUUUUGUGAAUUGA